This 543-nucleotide small RNA is filed under the name Pan troglodytes (chimpanzee). Its description in RNAcentral is "retained intron". Lineage: Eukaryota; Metazoa; Chordata; Mammalia; Primates; Hominidae. The record is from RNAcentral.
GGUCUCCAGAUGGUGAUGGCGUUGGAAACAGCUACAUUGAAGAUAAUGAUGAUGACAGCAAAAUGGCAGAUCUCUUGUCCUACUUCCAGCAGCAACUCACAUUUCAGGAGUCUGUGCUUAAACUGUGUCAGCCUGAGCUUGAGAGCAGUCAGACUCACAUAUCAGUGUUGCCAAUGGAGGUCCUGAUGUACAUCUUCCGAUGGGUGGUGUCUAGUGACUUGGACCUCAGAUCAUUGGAGCAGUUGUCGCUGGUGUGCAGAGGAUUCUACAUCUGUGCCAGAGACCCUGAAAUAUGGCGUCUGGCCUGCUUGAAAGUUUGGGGCAGAAGCUGUAUUAAACUUGUUCCGUACACGUCCUGGAGAGAGAUGUUUUUAGAACGGCCUCGUGUUCGGUUUGAUGGUAAGUUGGAUUCUGUAGAACUCAGCAGAAAUACUGAUCUAUAAUGCUGAUUUUUAUAAAUACGCCGUUUAAAUUUUCUGUGAUGAACGUGAGUACUGUAAGCAUGUUUAAAGGAAACCACAGUAAAUAUAAUGCUGGGAAUAU